RNAcentral lists this ribosomal RNA (279 nucleotides) under uncultured bacterium. RNAcentral's name for it is "partial 16S ribosomal RNA". It matches the Rfam family "Bacterial small subunit ribosomal RNA", at positions 506 to 784 of the family's 1533-position model. The record is from RNAcentral.
UGCCAGCCGCCGCGGUAAUACGGAGGGUGCAAGCGUUGUCCGGAUUUAUUGGGUUUAAAGGGUGCGUAGGCGGUCCGUUAAGUCAGUGGUGAAAUCCCUCAGCUCAACUUCGGAAUAGCAUUUGAAACUACUUGUCUAGAGGAUGGACGGAGAAAACGGAAUUCCAUGUGUAGCGGUGAAAUGCGUAGAUAUAUGGAAGAACACCCGUGGCGAAAGCGGUUUUCUAGUUCACUCCUGACGCUGAGGUCCGAAAGCGAGGGUAGCAAACAGGAUUAGAUA